Molecule: ribosomal RNA, 504 nt
Filed under: uncultured bacterium
Lineage: Bacteria
Description: bacterial SSU rRNA
Rfam family: Bacterial small subunit ribosomal RNA
Source: RNAcentral
AGAGUUUGAUUCUGGCUCAGGAUGAACGCUAGCUACAGGCUUAACACAUGCAAGUCGAGCGGAAUGCUUCGGGCAUUUAGCGGCAGACGGGUGAGUAACACGUAUCCAACCUUUCCCUUACUCGGGUAUAGCCUCGGGAAACUGAGAGUAAUCCCCGAUGCAGUGUACGAACAGCAUUAUUUGCACACUAAAGAUUUAUCGGUAAGGGGUGGGGAUGCGUUCCAUUAGGUAGUAGGCGGGGUAACGGCCCACCUAGCCGAUGAUGGAUAGGGGUUCUGAGAGGAAGGUCCCCCACAUUGGAACUGCGACACGGUCCAAACUCCUACGGGAGGCAGCAGUGAGGAAUAUUGGUCAAUGGUCGAAGGACUGAACCAGCCAAGUAGCGUGCAGGAUGACGGCCCUAUGGGUUGUAAACUGCUUUUGUGCGGGAAUAACGGUCUCCACGUGUGGAGAUGUGCAUGUACCGUACGAAUAAGGAUCGGCUAACUCCGUGCCAGCCGCUGC